This 384-nucleotide ribosomal RNA is filed under the name uncultured bacterium. RNAcentral describes it as "bacterial SSU rRNA". It matches the Rfam family "Bacterial small subunit ribosomal RNA", at positions 30 to 416 of the family's 1533-position model. The record is from RNAcentral.
AUUGAACGCUGGCGGAAUGCUUUACACAUGCAAGUCGAACGGUAGAGGGGGCAACCCCUUGAGAGUGGCGAACGGGUGAGUAAUAUAUCGGAACGUGCCCAGUCGUGGGGAUAACGUAGCGAAAGUUACGCUAAUACCGCAUACGAUCUAAGGAUGAAAGCGGGGGACUCGCAAGAGCCUCGCGCGAUUGGAGCGGCCGAUAUCAGAUUAGGUAGUUGGUGAGGUAAAGGCUCACCAAGCCGACGAUCUGUAGCUGGUCUGAGAGGACGACCAGCCACACUGGGACUGAGACACGGCCCAGACUCCUACGGGAGGCAGCAGUGGGGAAUUUUGGGACAAUGGGCGCAAGCCUGAUCCAGCAAUGCCGCGUGCAGGAUGAAGGCC